GCCUACUGUUUAAUUUUGAAAGUUCUUUACGAACUUUAUAUAUGGGGGUGUAGCUCAGUUGGGAGAGCACUUGCCUUGCAAGCAAGGGGUCAGGAGUUCGACUCUCCUCAUCUCCACCAUUUAAGAGUAUAUUACUUAAAUCUUUGAUUUACUUAGUAGCCUCUUACAAUGCACUUAUAGCUUAAAUUUAUACAAGCUUUGUGUGUUAGCACUUUAAGCAAUGGGAUUUAUCCGUUGGCGCUGUGCGUUAGCACUUUGAAAACUGCAUAUAUAUAUUUAGUGAUAUGACAUCUAAUUUGUAAUAUAUAAAGCUGAUAACUUUUUAAAACUAUCGAAGUUGAUAGCUUCUAAUCUAUCAAACCUUUUUAACUGGUCAA
Molecule: transfer RNA, 377 nt
Filed under: Clostridioides difficile
Lineage: Bacteria; Bacillati; Bacillota; Clostridia; Peptostreptococcales; Peptostreptococcaceae
Description: 16S-23S ribosomal RNA intergenic spacer (ISR)
Rfam family: tRNA (bases 44-116)
Source: RNAcentral